UAGGGAAUCUUCCACAAUGGACGCAAGUCUGAUGGAGCAACGGCCGCGUGAGUGAAGAAGGUUUUCGGACCGUAAAGCUCUGUUGUUGGUGAAGAAGGAUAGAGGUAGUAACUGGCCUUUAUUUGACGGUAAUCAACCAGAAAGUCACGGCUAACUACGUGCCAGCAGCCGCGGUAAUACGUAGGUGGCAAGCGUUGUCCGGAUUUAUUGGGCGUAAAGCGAGCGCAGGCGGAAGAAUAAGUCUGAUGUGAAAGCCCUCGGCUUAACCGAGGAAUUGCAUCGGAAACUGUUUUCUUGAGUGCAGAAGAGGAGAGUAGAACUCCAUGUGUAGCGGUGGAAUGCGUAGAUAUAUGGAAGAAUACCAGUGGCGAAGGCGGCUCUCUGGUCUGCAACUGACGCUGAGGCUCGAAAGCAUGGGUAGCGAACAGGAUUAGAUACCCUGGUAGUCCAUGCCGUA
Molecule: ribosomal RNA, 457 nt
Filed under: uncultured bacterium
Lineage: Bacteria
Description: partial 16S ribosomal RNA
Rfam family: Bacterial small subunit ribosomal RNA
Source: RNAcentral